RNAcentral lists this ribosomal RNA (1072 nucleotides) under Prosopidicola mexicana. Its description in RNAcentral is "SSU rRNA". It matches the Rfam family "Eukaryotic small subunit ribosomal RNA", at positions 50 to 1135 of the family's 1831-position model. Lineage: Eukaryota; Fungi; Ascomycota; Sordariomycetes; Diaporthales. The record is from RNAcentral.
CAUGCAAGUCUAAGUUUAAGCACCUUAACGGCGAAACUGCGAAUGGCUCAUUAAAUCAGUUAUCGUAUAUUUGAUAGUACCUACUACAUGGAUAACCGUGGUAAUUCUAGAGCUAAUACAUGCUUAAAAUCCCGACUCCGGAAGGGAUGUAUUUAUUAGAUUAAAAACCAAUGCCCUUCGGGGCUCACUGGUGAUUCAUAAUAACUUCUCGAAUCGCAUGGCCUUGCGCCGGCGAUGGUUCAUUCAAAUUUCUGCCCUAUCAACUUUCGACGGCUGGGUCUUGGCCAGCCGUGGUUACAACGGGUAACGGAGGGUUAGGGCUUGACCCCGGAGAAGGAGCCUGAGAAACGGCUACUACAUCCAAGGAAGGCAGCAGGCGCGCAAAUUACCCAAUCCCGACACGGGGAGGUAGUGACAAUAAAUACUGAUACAGGGCUCUUUUGGGUCUUGUAAUUGGAAUGAGUACAAUUUAAAUCCCUUAACGAGGAACAAUUGGAGGGCAAGUCUGGUGCCAGCAGCCGCGGUAAUUCCAGCUCCAAUAGCGUAUAUUAAAGUUGUUGCAGUUAAAAAGCUCGUAGUUGAACCUUGGGCCUGGCUGGCCGGUCUGCCUCACCGCAUGCACUGGUCCGGCCGGGCCUUUCCCUCUGGGGAGCCGCAUGCCCUUCACUGGGUGUGUCGGGGAACCAGGACUUUUACUGUGAAAAAAUUAGAGUGUUCAAAGCAGGCCUAUGCUCGAAUACAUUAGCAUGGAAUAAUAGAAUAGGACGUGUGGUUCUAUUUUGUUGGUUUCUAGGACCGCCGUAAUGAUUAAUAGGGACAGUCGGGGGCAUCAGUAUUCAAUCGUCAGAGGUGAAAUUCUUGGAUCGAUUGAAGACUAACUACUGCGAAAGCAUUUGCCAAGGAUGUUUUCAUUAAUCAGGAACGAAAGUUAGGGGAUCGAAAACGAUCAGAUACCGUUGUAGUCUUAACCAUAAACUAUGCCGACUAGGGAUCGGGCGGUGUUAUUUCUUGACCCGCUCGGCACCUUACACGAAAGUAAAGUUUUGGGUUCUGGGGGGAGUAUGGUCGCAAG